RNAcentral lists this ribosomal RNA (473 nucleotides) under uncultured delta proteobacterium. RNAcentral describes it as "bacterial SSU rRNA". It matches the Rfam family "Bacterial small subunit ribosomal RNA", at positions 400 to 863 of the family's 1533-position model. The record is from RNAcentral. Lineage: Bacteria; Deltaproteobacteria.
CGUGAGUGAUGAAGGCUUUCGGGUCGUAAAGCUCUGUCAAGUGGGAAGAACAUGCUUGAUGCUAAUACCAUCUUGCACUGACGGUACCACUGAAGGAAGCACCGGCUAACUCCGUGCCAGCAGCCGCGGUAAUACGGGGGGUGCAAGCGUUAUUCGGAAUUAUUGGGCGUAAAGGGCGCGUAGGCGGUCUCUUAAGUCAGAUGUGAAAGCCCGGGGCUUAACCCCGGAAGUGCAUUUGAAACUAAGGGACUUGAGUAUGGGAGAGGGAAGUGGAAUUCCUGGUGUAGAGGUGAAAUUCGUAGAUAUCAGGAGGAACACCGGUGGCGAAGGCGACUUCCUGGACCAAUACUGACGCUGAGGCGCGAAGGCGUGGGGAGCAAACAGGAUUAGAUACCCUGGUAGUCCACGCAGUAAACGGUGAACACUAGGUGUAGCGGGUAUUGACCCCUGCUGUGCCGUAGCUAACGCAUUAA